UGGGUGGCGGACGGGUGAGUAACGCGUAAAGAACUUGCCUCACAGCUAGGGACAACAUUUGGAAACGAAUGCUAAUACCUAAUAUUAUGAUAAUAGGGCAUCCUAUAAUUAUGAAAGCUAUAAGCGCUGUGAGAGAGCUUUGCGUCCCAUUAGCUAGUUGGAGAGGUAACGGCUCACCAAGGCGAUGAUGGGUAGCCGGCCUGAGAGGGUGAUCGGCCACAAGGGGACUGAGACACGGCCCUUACUCCUACGGGAGGCAGCAGUGGGGAAUAUUGGACAAUGGACCGAGAGUCUGAUCCAGCAAUUCUGUGUGCACGAUGAAGUUUUUCGGAAUGUAAAGUGCUUUCAGUUGGGAAGAAAAAAAUGACGGUACCAACAGAAGAAGUGACGGCUAAAUACGUGCCAGCAGCCGCGGUAAUACGUAUGUCACGAGCGUUAUCCGGAUUUAUUGGGCGUAAAGCGCGUCUAGGUGGUUAUGUAAGUCUGAUGUGAAAAUGCAGGGCUCAACUCUGUAUUGCGUUGGAAACUGUAUAACUAGAGUACUGGAGAGGUAAGCGGAACUACAAGUGUAGAGGUGAAAUUCGUAGAUAUUUGUAGGAAUGCCGAUGGGGAAGCCAGCUUACUGGACAGAUACUGACGCUGAAGCGCGAAAGCGUGGGUAGCAAACAGGAUUAGAUACCCUGGUAGUCCACGCCGUAAACGAUGAUUACUAGGUGUUGGGGGUCGA
RNAcentral lists this ribosomal RNA (727 nucleotides) under uncultured Fusobacterium sp. Its description in RNAcentral is "bacterial SSU rRNA". It matches the Rfam family "Bacterial small subunit ribosomal RNA", at positions 92 to 833 of the family's 1533-position model. Lineage: Bacteria; Fusobacteriati; Fusobacteriota; Fusobacteriia; Fusobacteriales; Fusobacteriaceae. The record is from RNAcentral.